GUGCAGCAGGCGAGAAUACUUUACAAUGUGCGAAAGCACGAUAAGGGAACUCUGAGUGCCUCCGUAAGGAGGCUGUUCAGGUGUCUAAAAAGCACCUGGAGUAAGGGCUGGGUAAGACCGGUGCCAGCCGCCGCGGUAACACCGGGCAGCCCAGGUGGUAGCCACUUUUAUUGGGUCUAAAGCGUCCGUAGCCGGUUGAGUAAGUUCCUUGGGAAAUUUGGCUGCUCAACAGUCAAGCUUCCAGGGAAUACUGCUCGACUUGGGACUGGGAGAGGUCAGAGGUACUCCAGGGGUAGGGGUGAAGGUCCA
RNAcentral lists this ribosomal RNA (309 nucleotides) under uncultured microorganism. Its description in RNAcentral is "bacterial SSU rRNA". It matches the Rfam family "Archaeal small subunit ribosomal RNA", at positions 330 to 641 of the family's 1478-position model. The record is from RNAcentral.